AAAAAUGGGAAAAUCAAAGUGGGAGUUAAAAAUAACUAUAAAUACGGUUGUCUGUGAAGUCAUUUACUAGUAAGUAAAUUGUUCAUUUUUUCGCAAUUUUUCGCUGUUAGACAACGUUCAUUUUUUGCAAACAAAAAUUAUUAAUCGUCUUUGGAUCAGAUCAAUUUCGAUUGAAAAAAUGUCAAAGGUGCUGUUUGAAUUUAUUGCCCUUCUUGUUGUUAUUGCAAUGAUGCAAGUCACUGUCGAAGCUUGCUCAGGCGGUGGGGGUUCAUCAUCGGACGACAGAUCUUGCAUAGCCAGUACAAAACCGUGUGAAAAUAGUGGCGAUUGCUGUAAAGGAAGCUGCAUUAUGCAUCGUUGGACAGGUGGCUCUAAAGAUAAUACCUUUGAAAAGUUAUGUGAAUGAUAAUAACUUUUCGAGGUAUAUAAUCGCAUGGAAAAGUUAUUUUUUUGUAUCCAAAUAUGUAUACGAUAAGAAUAAAAAAAUAUGUGAAAAACUGA
Molecule: long non-coding RNA, 501 nt
Organism: Microplitis mediator
Lineage: Eukaryota; Metazoa; Arthropoda; Insecta; Hymenoptera; Braconidae
Exons: 3
Source: RefSeq, a predicted model, not a curated record